Molecule: long non-coding RNA, 684 nt
Organism: Thunnus maccoyii (southern bluefin tuna)
Lineage: Eukaryota; Metazoa; Chordata; Actinopteri; Scombriformes; Scombridae
Exons: 3
Source: RefSeq, a predicted model, not a curated record
UUCUCCUAUUCCUGCUGCACCCGCGGGAUCGAGCACUACAUCCCCAGCGGGCCCCUACUGAGCGUUAAUUUUGGGGGCCCCUGCCUGGUAUUUGAGGGCCCACGCGCUCUGCGUACUCUGCGUAGGCGGAGCAGCAGCACUGCCUAGUUGUUUUCAUUAGGUAUACCCAGAGACCUGACUACUAUACUAUGUCUUUGUCUUGCACAAUGAGAGCAUCAGGCAGUUCUUGGAGGGCACAGCCUUGGACCCAAGGUUCAAGACGAAAGUGGCAGAUAGAGUGCGGACCAGACUAGAGGAGAAGCUCAUGAAUAGGACCUCACAACAGAAUAAAGAUGAAAUGACCAAGGACCGGCAGAUUGAACAGGAUCUUGAAGAGACAGCCAGUGACCAUGAUGACGACUCAUGAUGAAGACAGUACAGCUGCAGUAGCAACACUGAUACCCUGACCUCUACCUGCAGGAGCCUGUUGGGCGGAGUUUGGUCGUCAGGAGGAUUCAGGUCACCUGGACUGUCCAGCUUCCAUAUAAGCUGGAGGCAGUCAGUCAUUUGCCCUCUUCCCUCUGGCUUUCACCAUGUUGUUUGUGGUUGUGUUUGGUUUCAUUUAUUUUUAAGUUAUGUACAUUAAAUCUAUCUUUAUUUAUAACUCAUGUGUGGUCUCCCCUCCUUUGUCCAGCCUUGAGCCAG